RNAcentral lists this ribosomal RNA (540 nucleotides) under uncultured bacterium. Its description in RNAcentral is "bacterial SSU rRNA". It matches the Rfam family "Bacterial small subunit ribosomal RNA", at positions 9 to 526 of the family's 1533-position model. The record is from RNAcentral.
GAGUUUGAUCCUGGCUCAGAACGAACGCUGGCGGCGUGCUUAACACAGCAAGUCGAACGCGAACGGUUCCUUCGGGGACCAAGUAGAGUGGCGCACGGGUGAGUAACGCGUAAGUAAUCUCCCCUUGCAUUCGGAAUAACUCGCCGAAAGGUGUGCUAAUACCGGAUACGUCUGGAAUAAUGACUUUUUUUCAGGAAAGGUGGCCUCUUCAUGAAAGCUACUGCAGCAGGAGGAGCUUGCGUACCAUUAGCUAGUUGGUAGGGUAAUGGCCUACCAAGGCGACGAUGGUUAGCGGGUCUGAGAGGAUGAUCCGCCACACUGGAACUGAAACACGGACCAGACUCCUACGGGAGGCAGCAGUGAGGAAUAUUGCGCAAUGGGGGAAACCCUGACGCAGCGACGCCGCGUGGAUGAUGAAGGCCUUCGGGUCGUAAAAUCCUGUCAGAUGGGAAGAAGUGUAUAUUACCUAAUACGUGAUAUAUUUGACGGUACCAUCAAAGGAAGCACCGGCUAACUCCGUGCCAGCAGCCGCGGUAAUAC